RNAcentral lists this ribosomal RNA (229 nucleotides) under uncultured bacterium. Its description in RNAcentral is "partial 16S ribosomal RNA". It matches the Rfam family "Bacterial small subunit ribosomal RNA", at positions 568 to 796 of the family's 1533-position model. The record is from RNAcentral.
UACGUAGGCGGAAAAUUAAGUCAGUAGUGAAAUCCUGCAGCUUAACUGUAGAACUGUUAUUGAUACUGGUUUUCUUGAAUUUAGUUGAGGUAGGCGGAAUGUGUAAUGUAGCGGUGAAAUGCUUGGAUAUUACACAGAACACCGAUUGCGAAGGCAGCUUACUAAGCUAUGAUUGACGCUGAGGUACGAAAGCGUGGGGAGCGAACAGGAUUAGAUACCCUGGUAGUCC